UACGGAGGAUGCGAGCGUUAUCCGGAUUUAUUGGGUUUAAAGGGUGCGUAGGCGGCGCCUCAAGUCAGCGGUCAAACCGGGGGGCUCAACCUUCCGCCGCCGUUGAAACUGGGGCGCUUGAGUGGGCGAGAAGUGCGCGGAAUGCGUGGUGUAGCGGUGAAAUGCAUAGAUAUCACGCAGAACUCCGAUUGCGAAGGCAGCGCACCGGCGCCCAACUGACGCUGAAGCACGAAAGCGUGGGUAUCGAACAGG
RNAcentral lists this ribosomal RNA (252 nucleotides) under uncultured bacterium. Its description in RNAcentral is "partial 16S ribosomal RNA". It matches the Rfam family "Bacterial small subunit ribosomal RNA", at positions 524 to 776 of the family's 1533-position model. RNAcentral also lists the same sequence under 1 other name. The record is from RNAcentral.